AUACGGAGGGUGCGAGCGUUAAUCGGAAUUGCUGGGCGUAAAGCGCGCGUAGGUGGUUAAUUAAGUCAGAUGUGAAAGCCCAGGGCUCAACCUUGGAACUGCAUUUGAAACUGGUUGACUAGAGUUUUGUAGAGGGUGGUAGAAUUUCAGGUGUAGCGGUGAAAUGCGUAGAGAUCUGAAGGAAUACCAGUGGCGAAGGCGGCCACCUGGACAAAGACUGACACUGAGGCGCGAAGGCGUGGGGAGCAAACGGGAUUAGAAACCUCAGUAGUCC
RNAcentral lists this ribosomal RNA (274 nucleotides) under uncultured bacterium. RNAcentral describes it as "partial 16S ribosomal RNA". It matches the Rfam family "Bacterial small subunit ribosomal RNA", at positions 523 to 796 of the family's 1533-position model. The record is from RNAcentral.